CAGCAGCCACGGGAAUACGUAGGGUGCAAGCGUUAAUCGGAAUUACUGGGCGUAAAGCGUGCGCAGGCGGUCCGCUAAGACAGAUGUGAAAUCCCCGGGCUUAACCUGGGAACUGCAUUUGUGACUGGCGGGCUAGAGUAUGGCAGAGGGGGGUAGAAUUCCAGGUGUAGCGGUGAAAUGCGUAGAGAUCUGGAGGAAUACCGGUGGCGAAGGCGGCCCCCUGGACAAAGACUGACGCUCAGGUGCGAAAGCGUGGGGAGCAAACAGGAUUAGAUACCCCUGUAGUCCCUGUCUCUUAUAC
This 301-nucleotide ribosomal RNA is filed under the name uncultured bacterium. Its description in RNAcentral is "partial 16S ribosomal RNA". It matches the Rfam family "Bacterial small subunit ribosomal RNA", at positions 509 to 807 of the family's 1533-position model. The record is from RNAcentral.